UACGUAGGGGGCAAGCGUUGUUCGGAAUUACUGGGCGUAAAGGGCGCGCAGGCGGCUGCUCAAGUCAGGCGUGAAAGGCCUGGGCUCAACCCGGGAAUUGCGCUUGAGACUGGGCUGGCUUGAGUGCGGGAGAGGAUGGUGGAAUUCCCAGUGUAGAGGUGAAAUUCGUAGAUAUUGGGAAGAACACCGGUGGCGAAGGCGGCCAUCUGGACCGCAACUGACGCUGAGGCGCGACAGCGUGGGGAGCAAACAGG
This 254-nucleotide ribosomal RNA is filed under the name uncultured bacterium. RNAcentral's name for it is "partial 16S ribosomal RNA". It matches the Rfam family "Bacterial small subunit ribosomal RNA", at positions 524 to 776 of the family's 1533-position model. The record is from RNAcentral.